RNAcentral lists this non-coding RNA (19 nucleotides) under Arabidopsis thaliana (thale cress). The record is from RNAcentral. Lineage: Eukaryota; Viridiplantae; Streptophyta; Magnoliopsida; Brassicales; Brassicaceae.
UCAGCCCUAUAAUCGUUGC